Molecule: transfer RNA, 62 nt
Filed under: Cromna sinensis
Lineage: Eukaryota; Metazoa; Arthropoda; Insecta; Hemiptera; Flatidae
Description: tRNA-Asn
Source: RNAcentral
UUAACUGAAGCUAAAGAGAAGCAUUUCACUGUUAAUGAAAAAAUUGGAAACACCCAGUUAAA